GACAACGUGCCAGAGUGGUUAAUGGGUAUGACUCGAAUCCUAGAUCCGUGUGACCUAGGUAGAUAUCAUAUGGAUUCGUCCGCGUAGGUUCAAAUCCUGCCGUUGUCG
Molecule: transfer RNA, 108 nt
Filed under: Drepanopeziza brunnea f. sp. 'multigermtubi' MB_m1
Lineage: Eukaryota; Fungi; Ascomycota; Leotiomycetes; Helotiales; Drepanopezizaceae
Description: Marssonina brunnea f. sp. 'multigermtubi' MB_m1 tRNA
Rfam family: tRNA
About the family: Transfer RNA (tRNA) molecules are approximately 80 nucleotides in length.
Source: Rfam by way of RNAcentral